This is a long non-coding RNA of Prunus dulcis (almond), 531 nucleotides long. RefSeq lists it as uncharacterized. The transcript is spliced from 2 exons. The record is from RefSeq and is a predicted model, not a curated record. NCBI's taxonomy places the organism in Eukaryota, Viridiplantae, Streptophyta, Magnoliopsida, Rosales, Rosaceae.
GCACUUGAACUUUUAUCCAGUUGCAUAAGGGAGAAGGCAGGCAAAGACCGAUAGUUCAUCUAGCACUCAAACUCUAAAGCUCCCUAAAAUGAAUAUGGAUCAGGGAGGAGGCGGCAGCAGUAGGAACCAGGUCAAAAAGGUCUCGACAUUUCUGACAAUACAAUUAUUGGAGGUGAACGCUCCAAGACUGUUGGGAUCCGCAGAGUUGGCAACACCAGACCUGACGAAGGCUCCAGCUGUUGCUGCAUCCUAUAAUUUAGGAGAAGAAGAAGCGGAACCAAAGUUAGCAUAAACCAAUUGAGAAGGACAUGAUCAAUAAAAAGGAGGAAAAAAAGGUCUGUUCUUCCAUGUUUUAAGGUUUAAUGGUGUGUAUUCCAUGUACGAAAAUAAGAGCUGAUAGAGCAAAGAUCUAGGCUUGUAGGCCUCUUAUUAUGAUUAAUUAAUAUUGUAUAAUAUUAUUGUAAUUACAUUCCUUUUGUUUCGUUUGUACCAAGUUUGUUGGGACAUUCUAUCUUCUAAUGUUGCUUGCAA